AAUAUAAAGAAAAAAGGAAAAAAAAA
RNAcentral lists this small RNA (26 nucleotides) under Arabidopsis thaliana (thale cress). Its description in RNAcentral is "ATSL123870". The record is from RNAcentral. Lineage: Eukaryota; Viridiplantae; Streptophyta; Magnoliopsida; Brassicales; Brassicaceae.